RNAcentral lists this long non-coding RNA (3197 nucleotides) under Equus caballus (horse). Its description in RNAcentral is "lncRNA (ENSECAG00000057653.1)". Lineage: Eukaryota; Metazoa; Chordata; Mammalia; Perissodactyla; Equidae. The record is from RNAcentral.
UUUUGAUCCCAAAUUGCAUGUAUUAAGUCAUUAUUAAUUUAUCUCACAUUUCUUAUUAAUCAAAGACAUAGAUAGCUGCCCCUCAGAGCUUCUGAUCUGUGUGACCAGCUGGGAGCUGCACGUGGUUGACAUAAUUCCAGCCAGAGGCAAAGGAACUCCGCAAUGUGUGUGGUCUGGGUGGCCUGAGAAGGUCUAAAUGUAGAUGCAUCGUCCUCCUUUUCUUUUCAUCGGCCAUGAGCCUUGCCUGGGUGGGGGCUGCUUUCACAGUCACUCACUGAUGGGCCAGAGGCUGAGUUUUCAGUGCCAGGCUCUAGCAAGGGUCCCCGUGCGGGUCCCAGACUCCUCCUCCCACAGAACUCACUCCAAAUAGAUGGCAUGCACCAGCACCACGCAGAAGAGCGUGGGGUUCACCUAGUGGGACGUGGCAGAGCUGUCUUCAUGCGGGUCCCACAGGCUCUGGCUGGAGAUUGCCAUGUUGUCCUACCCCUCGCUCCUGAUGCUGACAGAGCACACUAGCUUGUAGCCGGGCCGGGUGACAGCCGUGACGAGGUCCCAGGUCGCGGUGCUCAGCACCACUGCCAGGUGAGAGGGCAGGCCACAUUGGCAAGCUUGGAGGGCAGGUGAGCCUCCAUCAGCUCUUCCUCCCACACUCAGGGGAACUUCAACUCUGGCCUGGCCGACCGCAAGGGAACCCAGAAGGAGGAGAGGAGGGAGGUGAUGGUGGGAGAACAUGGAAUUUGGGUUUGAAGCCCAUUAUGUUGAACAUAGACCCCUGAGUUGGAGCCUACAGUUUGGAAUAGUGGGAUGGAAAAUGGAACACAGAACCUGGAACACAAGAAAAUAACUUUGUCUUCUGCUGUGCAGAGAUUAACCUGGCUUCCAAGUGGCUCAGCCUAUAUGUGCCCUGGGGCCCAUGGCCCUGACUCCCCUCGCUCUCCCUGCACCCCUAGGCCACUGGCCCCCACCUGCUCCUGGAUGAUGCUGACGGGGCCGUGGUGAGUCAGCUGGGGCUGAGACAGUGUUCUCAAGGAUGUGCGCUUCUGCAAGUGAAGAUGAGCGUGGAGGGGCAGCAGGAGUCUCUGUCAAGAAGUGACAACCCUCAGAGAGCUGCCCCCGAACCUCCAGAAUGUCUCCACUGGCUCCAGCUGGCCAGCCCUGAAGCCUGUCCAAGUCUCCCCGUGUUAACAGAACAGAGCGACAGCCUGCCUCCCCUCACGGCUGCAGAGGAGCGCCCAGCCAUCGCAGCCUCUGGCUCCCUGGAAUGCCGCCCCCUGCCUCCCUCCCCUCGCCCUCCACCCACUGCCGUCCUGCACCCAGCACGUGCUCUCCAUAAGUCCCUGGUGUACAGAGGUCAUUUUUCAGCAGCGUUGGAUGCCGUUGUCAAUUCCCUCCUUUCGGAGCCUCAGUUUCCUCAAUGGCAUAAUUCCUACCUCACUAGAUUACCCUGAGGACUAAGUAACUCCUUCAUUCAUGUUUUCGGCAAACAUUUCUGAACACCCGCUUGUGUGCAGGCUUUCUGCUGGGCUCUUGAGGACCCUGACUUUGGAGAUGGCCACAGUCUCCCGGGGGCCACAGAUGCUGGUAUAAACAAUGUGAAGAGCCUGGCACUCUGCCUGUGACAUAGUAGACACUCAGUGUGUGUGGGGCUCUGUCGUGUCUUUCUGCCCCCUCUGGGCCUCAGUUUCCAUAGCCAGAAAUGGAUAGGAAGAGGGGGUUGGACUUGCUCUCUGAAGUCCCCUCCAGCCCUGGUGGCCCAAGGCCCUGGGCCCCACUUCUCAGGCUGCCUCGUGUGUCCCCUACCCCCAGCCCGUCCCUCUCACCUUGAGCUCCCAGGUGAGCCUGUGAGCAGGGAGGAGGCUGCCGAGGCCAAGCAUGGCAGCUUCUACUUCUGGACUCUCUGAAGCUUGGCUGCUCCCUUCUUAACGGGGGACCUGAUGAGGGAGCACUGCUCCCCUGCCCAGGAUGGGCUGUGGCCUGAGAGGAACAUAGGUGGGCAGGUUGGAGGCAGGAGGGACCUGGCUUCUCAAGGAGGAAGGCUGCAGGGUGCUUGGCCCACUCAGCCACUCCAGGCAUCCCCAACCCUCGGCCCCAGUCGCGCCCAGUGCCGACCUCCUCUUCCUCCCUACACAUGGUCUCGGCAAGGGUAGAACCAGUGUCGGGGUGGGAAGGCAGGCCUCUGAGCUGGUCAGGCGUAGGUUCAAGUGUCUGCUCUGUGCACGAGCAGCUGUGUGAUCUCGGGCAAAUCACCUCACUUCUCUGAACACCACUUUCCUCCUCCCUAAGCUGGGGACACUUCUAUUCCAUCUCUCAACAGAUAUCCCCAAGUGCUUAAUCUAUGCUGUGGACUGAAAGACAGCGGCAACAGCGUGCAGACCCCUGCUGUCCCAGUAGUGGCGUGCUGGGGGAGACAGAUGGCUGACAGCCAGGGCCUCACAGGGCAGUCCUGAUCCAGGGCUGUUUGGAAAUGUUGGGGACACUAACACCUCCUCACAGAGCUGCGAGGCUCGAGUGGGAUAAGGUGCACAAGGUAGCACGCGUUGGCCUGGCAGAUGGUGGGUGCUCAAUCAGUGCUUGUUGGAUAAAUGAACCAAUAAAAGCACUUCUCUCUGAGCCCUGAUUACCAGUGAAAUGGAGCUGAGGGUCCUUUCCUUGGAAAGUUGUUAUAAAGGUUUCUAACUUUGUUUAAAUUAAUGAAUUUAAAUUAAUAAAUAGAGCUUACUACAUGCCAUGUACUCUUCUCCUAAACCCUUUGCAAGUUUUAACUCAUUAUUCUCAUUUUACAGAUGAGGAGACUGAGGCACAGAGGGUAAGGUUAAGGAACCUGCCCAAGGUCCCAUAGCUCGGAUGUGGCUGGAUAUGAAUGUGCCUGGCAAACAGUAGGAGCUCAAUAGUUGCUUUAUUGUGGGGCAGGGAGGUUUUAGGCUUGGUAUCCAGUGCAAGCUGGGUGGUCAGGAAGGCUCCCAUGCUGAGCUGUUCUCGGUACCUGAGCUCUGGGUGUGAAUGAGUAGCUGAGGGGAGUUGGUGAGGAGUGGAGGGUGGUGGGAAGGAUGAGAAGGGAUGAGGACAAGGGGGCCAGGGGUGUAAGUGGCAGCAGUAAAACACUUCAGACAACACCCUGGAGUCAUAAUCCCGGAGCAGCCACUCCGGCAGCCUCUCCUGAGUCAGGGAAGGGUGCCAGGGCAGGAUCCCAUAGUAAC